RNAcentral lists this long non-coding RNA (506 nucleotides) under Homo sapiens (human). RNAcentral's name for it is "HSALNT0266734". The record is from RNAcentral. Lineage: Eukaryota; Metazoa; Chordata; Mammalia; Primates; Hominidae.
GGCCAAGUGACAGGAUGGUGAGAGCAGUUCCACUCUGUCAGAGUUACUGCUGCCACCACCAGCUCUGAUGAAUCACUCUCCACUACGUGAAUGGACAAGUCUGUCAGCAUGGCCACGGAGGCCAUGCCAGCUUCUAGAAUGAAUGUCUUGGAUUGGUGACUACGCUGAUCACACCAGGCUGAGCCCAGGAUCACACCAGGGACAAGACUGCCAGGCCUGAGCCAGUGCAGCCAACCCAGCCCAACUGCCCAGCACAGCCUCCCAUAACCAAUACAGUCGGGCCAACACAGCACAGCACAGCACAGCCCGGGCAGGCACCCUCACAGACUCCCACAGACAGACGUGCAGCCAUUGCUUCUGCCUACCUGAGACCAAUGCAGCCUUUGGAGCAAGGUAGAUGACAGACCUGGACCCCUGAGGAGCUAAUAGCCCAGGCUGGGCAGUAACCUUGCAGGAACAGCCUGGAAACUACCUCCUCCACUCUUUAUUCUCAACUCCAUGGCCUG